Schistosoma mattheei is the source of this 45-nucleotide non-coding RNA. The record is from Rfam. Lineage: Eukaryota; Metazoa; Platyhelminthes; Trematoda; Strigeidida; Schistosomatidae.
AUCUAGCUGACGAGUCCCAAAUAGGACGAGACGUGCGUCCUUGAU